RNAcentral lists this ribosomal RNA (253 nucleotides) under uncultured bacterium. RNAcentral describes it as "partial 16S ribosomal RNA". It matches the Rfam family "Bacterial small subunit ribosomal RNA", at positions 524 to 776 of the family's 1533-position model. The record is from RNAcentral.
UACGUAGGCAGCGAGCGUUGUUCGGAGUUACUGGGCGGAAAGAGUGCGUAGGCGGUUUUCUAAGUUUGGUGUGAAAUCUCCCGGCUUAACUGGGAGGGUGCGCCGAAGACUGGAAGGCUUGAGUAUGGGAGAGGUAAGCGGAAUUCCUGGUGUAGCGGUGAAAUGCGUAGAUAUCAGGAGGAACACCUGCGGUGUAGACGGCUUACUGGACCAUCACUGACGCUGAGGCACGAAAGCGUGGGUAGCAAACAGG